GGUGGAGUGUCCGAGUGGUUAAGGAGCUGUGUUUAGGUAAUCAUCAUGAUACCGUAAAUCCGCAGUGGGAAACCGCGCGAGUUCGAAUCUCGUCUCCAUCA
Molecule: non-coding RNA, 101 nt
Organism: Colletotrichum somersetense
Lineage: Eukaryota; Fungi; Ascomycota; Sordariomycetes; Glomerellales; Glomerellaceae
Source: the annotation of a GenBank genome assembly